RNAcentral lists this long non-coding RNA (1344 nucleotides) under Zostera marina. RNAcentral describes it as "long non-coding RNA (ZMAR_LNC002814)". Lineage: Eukaryota; Viridiplantae; Streptophyta; Magnoliopsida; Alismatales; Zosteraceae. The record is from RNAcentral.
CCAAACUCUCAGGGAGACUGGAUAUUUUCUGAGGUAAGGACGCAAUAGUUCUAAAACCAGGUGUCUCGAGAUCAUUUGACUGAGCUUUAGCAUCAAGAGGUGACAUUAAAACCAGUUCUAUACUAUUUUCAUUCAUAGCAGAUUCUUCGGCGACAGGUAUCACUUGCUCUUUUUUAAGAGGAAAUUCAGAAGUAGGUGUUUCUAAUUGCCUGCAAAUCUCUUUAUUGACCAUUUCUGAAACAGCAAGAGCAUUUUUAGUUUCAAGAGAAGAAACAGUUAUUGCGUCGGAUUUGUUUUUCAUGGGAAUAUCAGAAUCUCCAUUUUCAUCUGCCAAUGAUUUUUCAACAAUAUCAGCUGCAACAAGAAUAUUUUUAACCUCGACAUUAUCGCUGUGUUUUCCUUUCUUUUUCUUCUUACGACGUUUACUUCUGUCAUUAUUGGCUAAAGGAGCAGUGGAUACAUCAUCCUCAGAAGGAAUUACAAGAUCAACGUCUUCUUGAAAAUCAAUGGUACCCAAACUCUCAGGGAGACUGGAUAUUUUCUGAGGUAAGGACGCAAUAGUUCUAAAACCAGGUGUCUCGAGAUCAUUUGACUGAGCUUUAGCAUCAAGAGGUGACGUCAAAACCAGUUCUAUACUAUUUUCAUUCAUAGCAGAUUCUUCGGCGACAGGUAUCACUUGCUCUUUUUCAAGAGGAAAUUCAGAAGUAGGUGUUUCUAAUAGCCUGCAAAUCUCUUUAUUGACCUUUUCUGAAACAGCAAGAGCAUUUUUAGUUUCAAGAGAAAAAACAGUUAUUGUGUCGGAUUUGUUUUUCAUGGGAAUAUCAGAAUCUCCAUUUUCAUCUGCCAAUGAUUUUUCAACAUUAUCAGCUGCAACAAGAAUAUUUUUAACCUCGACAUUAUCGCUGUGUUUUCCUUUCUUUUUCUUCUUACGACGUUUACUUCUGUCAUUAUUGACUAAAGGAGCGGUGGAUACAUCAUCCUCAGAAGGAAUUACAAGAUCAACGUCUUCUUGAAAACCAAUGGUACCCAAACUCUCAGGGAGACUGGAUAUUUUCUGAGGUAAGGACGCAAUAGUUCUAAAACCAGGUGUCUCGAGAUCAUUUGACUGAGCUUUAGCAUCAAGAGGUGACGUCAAAACCAGUUUUAUACUAUUUUCAUUCAUAGCAGAUUCUUCGGCGACAGGUAUCACUUGCUCUUUCUCAAGAGGAAAUUCAGAAGUAGGUGUUUCUAAUUGCCUGCAAAUCUCUUUAUUGACCUUUUCUGAAAUAGCAAGAGCAUUUUUAGUUUCAAGAGAAGAAACAGUUAUUGUGUCGGAUUUGUUUUUAAUGGGAAUAUCAGAAUCUC